This 427-nucleotide ribosomal RNA is filed under the name uncultured bacterium. RNAcentral describes it as "partial 16S ribosomal RNA". It matches the Rfam family "Bacterial small subunit ribosomal RNA", at positions 355 to 774 of the family's 1533-position model. The record is from RNAcentral.
UGGGGAAUUUUGGACAAUGGGCGCAAGCCUGAUCCAGCAAUGCCGCGUGCAGGAUGAAGGCCUUCGGGUUGUAAACUGCUUUUGUACGGAACGAAACGGCGAGCUCUAAUACAGUUUGCUAAUGACGGUACCGUAAGAAUAAGCACCGGCUAACUACGUGCCAGCAGCCGCGGUAAUACGUAGGGUGCAAGCGUUAAUCGGAAUUACUGGGCGUAAAGCGUGCGCAGGCGGUUAUGUAAGACAGAUGUGAAAUCCCCGGGCUUAACCUGGGAACUGCAUUUGUGACUGCAUAGCUAGAGUACGGUAGAGGGGGAUGGAAUUCCGCGUGUAGAAGUGAAAUGCGUAGAUAUGCGGAGGAACACCGAUGGCGAAGGCAAUCCCCUGGACCUGUACUGACGCUCAUGCACGAAAGCGUGGGGAGCAAACA